Molecule: ribosomal RNA, 167 nt
Filed under: Arabidopsis thaliana (thale cress)
Lineage: Eukaryota; Viridiplantae; Streptophyta; Magnoliopsida; Brassicales; Brassicaceae
Description: 5.8S ribosomal RNA
Rfam family: 5.8S ribosomal RNA
About the family: 5.8S ribosomal RNA (5.8S rRNA) is a component of the large subunit of the eukaryotic ribosome.
Source: RNAcentral
AAAACGACUCUCGCUUGCAACGGAUAUCUCGGCUCUCGCAUCGAUGAAGAACGUAGCGAAAUGCGAUACUUGGUGUGAAUUGCAGAAUCCCGUGAACCAUCGAGUCUUUGAACGCAAGUUGCGCCCCAAGCCUUCUGGCCGAGGGCACGUCUGCCUGGGUGUCACAA